RNAcentral lists this ribosomal RNA (401 nucleotides) under uncultured bacterium. RNAcentral's name for it is "bacterial SSU rRNA". It matches the Rfam family "Bacterial small subunit ribosomal RNA", at positions 356 to 774 of the family's 1533-position model. The record is from RNAcentral.
GGGGAAUAUUGCACAAUGGGCGAAAGCCUGAUGCAGCAACGCCGCGUGAGUGAUGAAGGCCUUCGGGUUGUAAAGCUCUGUCUUCUGGGACGAUAAUGACGGUACCAGAGGAGGAAGCCACGGCUAACUACGUGCCAGCAGCCGCGGUAAUACGUAGGUGGCAAGCGUUGUCCGGAUUUACUGGGCGUAAAGGAUGCGUAGGCGGAUACUUAAGUCAGAUGUGAAAAUCCCGGGCUUAACUUGGGAACUGCAUUUGAAACUGGGUAUCUAGAGUGCGGGAGAGNAAAGUGGAAUUCCUAGUGUAGCGGUGAAAUGCGUAGAGAUUAGGAAGAACACCAGUGGCGAAGGCGACUUUCUGGACCGUAACUGACGCUGAGGCAUGAAAGCGUGGGGAGCAAACA